This 1535-nucleotide long non-coding RNA is filed under the name Salmo salar (Atlantic salmon). Its description in RNAcentral is "lncRNA (ENSSSAG00000085657.1, ENSSSAG00000109379.1)". The record is from RNAcentral. Lineage: Eukaryota; Metazoa; Chordata; Actinopteri; Salmoniformes; Salmonidae.
CAGGAAGAGAAGAGAAGGGAAGAGAAUAGAAGGUACAGGAAGAGAAGAGAAGGGAAGAGAAUAGAAGGUACAGGAAGAGAAGAGAAGGGAAGAGAAUAGAAGGUACAGGAAGAGAAGAGAAGGGAAGAGAAUAGAAGGUACAGGAAGAGAAGAGAAGGGAAGAGAAUAGAAGGUACAGGAAGAGAAUAGAAGGUACAGGAAGAGAAGAGAAGGGAAGAGAAUAGAAGGUACAGGAAGAGAAGAGAAGGGAAGAGAAUAGAAGGUACAGGAAGAGAAGAGAAGGGAAGAGAAUAGAAGGUACAGGAAGAGAAUAGAAGAGACAGGAAGAGAAGAGAAGAGACAAGAAGAGAAGAGACAGGGAGAGGAGAGAAGAGAAGAGACAGGAAGAGAACAGAAGGUACAGGAAGAGAAGAGAAGAUACAGGAAGAGGAGAGAAGAGAAGAGAGGUGAAGACACAGGAAGAGAAGAGAAGAGAGGAGAAGAGACAGGAAGAUAAGAGAAGAGACCAGGAAGAGAAGAGACAGGAAGAGGAGAGAAGAAACAGGAAGCGAAGAGAAGAAACAGGAAGCGAAGAGAAGAAACAGGAAGAAAAGGGAAGAUACAGGAAGAGAAGAGAAGAGAGGAGAAGAGACAGGAAGAUAAGAGAAGAGACAGUAAGAGAAGAGACAGGAAGAGAAGAGAAGAGACCAGGAAGAGAAGAGACAGGAAGAGGAGAGACAGGAAGAGAAGAUACAGGAAGAGAAGAGAAGGGAAGAGAAGAGAAGAGAAGAAACAGGAAGAGAAGAGAAGAAACAGGAAGCGAAGAGAAGAAACAGGAAGAAAAGGGAAGAUACAGGAAGAGAAGAGAAGAGAGGAGAAGGGAAGACAAGAUAAGAUAAGAUACAGGAAGAGAAGGGAAGAGAAUAGAAGGUACAGGAAGAGAAGAGAAGGGAAGAGAAUAGAAGGUACAGGAAGAGAAGAGAAGGGAAGAGAAUAGAAGGUACAGGAAGAGAAGAGAAGGGAAGAGAAUAGAAGGUACAGGAAGAGAAGAGAAGGGAAGAGAAUAGAAGGUACAGGAAGAGAAGAGAAGGGAAGAGAAUAGAAGGUACAGGAAGAGAAGAGAAGGGAAGAGAAUUGAUCACAUUAUAGAACAGCCCCUCUGGACAUCCUGUUGUUUAUUUUACAACGUGAGACAGGGCUCUCUCUCUCUUUCCUCCUCUCUCUCUGUCCUCCUCUCUCUCUGCCCUCCUCUUUCUCUGUCCUCCUCUCUCUCUUUCCUCCUCCUGUCUCCCUCUCUCUCUCUGCCCUCAACUCUCUCUCUGUCCUCCUCUCUCUCUGUCCUCCUCUCUCUCUUUCCUCCUCCUGUCUCCCUCUCUCCUCUGUCCUCAACUCUCUCUCUGUCCUCCUCUCUCUCUGUCCUCCUCUCUCUCUGUCCUCCUCCUGUCUCCCUCUCUCCUCUGUCCUCAACUCUCUCUCUGCCCUCCUCUUUCUCUGUCCUCCUCUCUCUCUUUCCUCCUCCUGUCUCCCUCUCUCCUCUGUCCUCAACUCUCUCUCUG